UUUGUAUUACAUGCGGAAAUUGUUACCAUUUUUGAGGUAACAUUUUUGAGCCGAAAAUGGUAACAAUUUCCGCACGUAAUACAAA
Molecule: non-coding RNA, 85 nt
Organism: Paramuricea clavata
Lineage: Eukaryota; Metazoa; Cnidaria; Anthozoa; Malacalcyonacea; Plexauridae
Source: the annotation of a GenBank genome assembly